GUAAAACAAUGUGCAUUAAAUCCAUGUGUAUUGUGGGGAGAAAUAAUUACCAAAAAAUCCUAUUGUUAACAAGCAAUUGUAACUCAGAGGAAUUUCAGACACCUUAUACCUGCUGCCUCUAAGAGACAAUCUCUCAAUCAUUCACUUCUGUAAAUAUUUCUUCAGAGUGGGCUACUUUCUAGGGCAAAUAUAAACAGAAAUGCAAUUGUUCUACUCUAUUCCCUCCUACAUUUUUCAAAAUCCAGCUGGAAUAUUUUCAUAAGUCUUUUAUAUGAUAAAUGUGCCUGUUUUUUACUCAGCCAAAGGCUGUGCCAUUUCAGCUGUUCUGGAAUUUUUUUUUAGGCUGAAUUUAUGGCAAAAGAAAACUAUCAGCAAGUUCUUAGCCAGGCUUCUCCACUUUAUUAGCCUUGGAGCUUUAGCUAGAAACAGAAUAAUGGUAAUGUAUAUAUUGCUCUUAUCCAGUUGUUUAAUAUACCAUGACCAUGCUUUCUUCAUUGUAGAGUAAAGCCAAAACAGAACUGAAAGGCAGGAAAAUUACUUUGUUUCUGCAACGUGUCACUGCUGGGGCAAGGGGGUGUGAUCAGACCAGACUCAUAGCUAUUUUGCGAUUAUUUCAGACUGUUUUAUCAACCAAGUAUGACUUGUGGAACAGAAUAUUUGAAAACAAAGCAAAGGGAACAAGAAUUAAAGGGAAAAUUCAGUGUAUCUAUAAAGGCCACCUACAGGGCAGCAGCGUUUGCAUGGUUCUUGGGAUGGCAGUUACGAUUUUCACAGCCUUUUAAAAAGGCUCCCCUUACCACUAAUACACAGGGCAGAGUGGAAAAAACGAUGAUCCUCCAGAAAUUUACUGUUCUCAGGGAUGACCCCACACUGGUGAGCAACAUUGAGACAACAGUUUGGAGUCACAGAACUGCCAUGACUGUAUCUGGAGAGGAAAAAAAAAAAGGGUAUUUGUUACAGUGAGUUAAAUAGAGUAAAGCUGGAACUGAGCGUAUGUCUGCUAGACGUGAAGUCAAACCUCUGACUUAAUGCUCUCAACAUUCAUCUUCUCAUUGUCCAGAGACACCCGUUAAACUUUUUUUCCCAGUGAGGCAGGAUAAAUGUAAGCGUAACUUAAGGGCUCAGAUGUCCUUGAAUAAGCCAUUUCAGAGCUUUCUAUCCAAUAAAAAUUGAUGACUCCUACUUCGUGAGUGUGCUGGGAGAAUGUACACAAUGAAGAAAGGCUCCAACAUCCCUGGUUAAUAGGGCCAUCAAGUGAUGUUCCCGGCAGAAUUGCAGAUCCCGUGAAAUGAUUUGGGCAGGCCACAGAUGUCCUGAUCAAAGUUUUCCAUUCAUUACCAUGGGCUCUAUGCCCAAAACUACUCAACAAGCACUGCUGAAUACUAAACACAGCUUACUUUGUUUGUACGUGUAUUCACUGCAUUCUAACUCCUUGUUUGCUUGAAGAAAUCACAAGAAUGCAUGGCAUAAAGCAAGACAGAGCUCUUUUAUUUUUAUCACUGUCCUGAAUGGCAGAAUCUGGCAGCCCAGAACUGUGGCUUUGGUGUAGUACCUUGUUGUGGCUUUUGAAGACUCGUUCAAAUAAGCACUGCAUUCCUUAGAUCCAAAUCUAGCAAUUCUGACUGUACUUUUUUCUAACUAUAGUCCUGCAGACAAAAUAUAGCUGCCUUUGUUGCUAUUGAGUUUAGCCAGAAUUAGGAGAUCAACAUCCGAUAGCUGCUUUGAUGAUGGCAGCUGGUAGUCACUUUUUUGAAACUUGGCAGCAGAUAUAUCGCCAAUCUUUCCAAUAUCUCUCCACUCCACCCUGCAAAAAUAACACUCUCAGGAGGGAACAUUAACGCAACAAGAACUUAAUGCAUCAUCCUCUUUGCCUCUGCUAACCACAGUAUGCAAUUACCACAAGGGCCAUCGCUGAACCCAUCCAUGGUUGGAUGGCUGACUCACUCUGCCUGAUCUGUGCCAAAAUGUUUUUACUGUUACUUGCAGAAGUUCUGCUUGAUGUAGAUGAGCUCAUACACGCAUUGUACGGCACCGGAAGAAGACAUGUGAGAGCACUGGAAUCAGAAAAAGCAGCUUGGGACCCCAGAGAACUCUCUACACCAUAUAUUGAGCCAGGAUCUUCCCAUAUAACAACCCAACUUGAAACUGAAUCAAAACCACUCCCUGCAGCUGACAAAGACAGUAUGCUGCAAGAGUUAAAUCACUCAGCUGGAAACCUGCUGGCAAAAAAUUUGCUCAAACUUAGAAUUGGUGGGGUUUUUUCCCCUUCUCUUAGCAAAAGCACUGGUUUCCUCAUCACCUUGGCUUAUUUAUAGCUAGAGACACAUGAAACCUAUGGGUCCACUCAGGGUGGGGCUGCAAAGGGGCUGCCAAGGGAAGGGCUGGGCUGUAGAAAGGGUCCUCUGACCCCUCCAUCAUGUCAGAGAUAAGGUUAAUGUUAUGAGAGACACAGCCUCAGGGUCCAGCUGGAGGGGGGCCUGUGGUGGGCUGCCAAAGGAGCAGGUAGGCAUGAAAAUGAAUUCUCCCUUGACGACUGCUACGUCUUGGAAAUGGUUUGGUGUUCCCAGGCUAAGCACAGCCCACACUUAUGGUUAGAUUCUGUAUCACCAUGUAUUGCUUGACAUACAUUUUUAAUUUGUCAAGUUUUCUUUCACUUAGACUGUUUGACUUCUGUGUUUUGUGAUUUACUUGCCUAUUUCUCAUUUGGGUUUCCCUGACCCUAGAAUUACAAACAUGGCUACACAUACAGACUGCAUGUCCUUGUGUGCCAGACUCCAUCACACAUGCUGUAUCAGUGGCUCUGUCACUAUGACCCCUUCCAUCAGGACUCUUUGGAAUCCCCUGUAUCACACUGGGAAGCACGAAAGCCUGAGCAGUCUGGCUGCUGUUGGAUACGCUUCAAAAGCCUUUUGAGUAAGAUAUGUAACAACUUCCAAUAGAUUUGUCUUCUGGAUAAACACGAAACCAAAAAUCAGUUUAUUCCACAAGAUGGAUGCAUUCUGGAUAUCCUUGCUGCCAUGAUUCAAG
Molecule: long non-coding RNA, 3027 nt
Organism: Aquila chrysaetos chrysaetos
Lineage: Eukaryota; Metazoa; Chordata; Aves; Accipitriformes; Accipitridae
Exons: 3
Source: RefSeq, a predicted model, not a curated record